AACGAACGCUGGCGGCAUGCCUAACACAUGCAAGUCGAACGAGACCUUCGGGUCUAGUGGCGCACGGGUGCGUAACGCGUGGGAACCUGCCCUUAGGUUCGGAAUAACUCCCCGAAAGGGGUGCUAAUACCGGAUAAUGUCUUCGGACCAAAGAUUUAUCGCCUUUGGAUGGGCCCGCGUUGGAUUAGCUAGUUGGUAGGGUAAAAGCCUACCAAGGCGACGAUCCAUAGCUGGUCUGAGAGGAUGAUCAGCCACACUGGGACUGAGACACGGCCCAGACUCCUACGGGAGGCAGCAGUAUGGAAUAUUGGACAAUGGGCGAAAGCCUGAUCCAGCAAUGCCGCGUGAGUGAUGAAGGCCUUAGGGUUGUAAAGCUCUUUUACCCGGGAUGAUAAUGACAGUACCGGGAGAAUAAGCUCCGGCUAACUCCGUG
RNAcentral lists this ribosomal RNA (433 nucleotides) under uncultured bacterium. RNAcentral's name for it is "partial 16S ribosomal RNA". It matches the Rfam family "Bacterial small subunit ribosomal RNA", at positions 29 to 507 of the family's 1533-position model. The record is from RNAcentral.